AACGAACGCUGGCGGCGUGCCUAACACAUGCAAGUCGAACGUGAAAGUCCUUCGGGAUGAGUAAAGCGGCGCACGGGUGAGUAACACGUAGGUGACCUGCCUUUUAGAGGGGAAUAACCAGAAGAAAUUUUGGCUAAUGCCGCAUACGAAGCACGGUUUUAAGACUGUGCUUGAAAGAAUGCCUCUGCAUAUGCAUUCACUAAAAGAUGGGCCUGCGGAACAUUAGCUAGUUGGUGGGGUAAAGGCCUACCAAGGCAACGAUGUUUAUCCGGUCUGAGAGGAUGAUCGUCCACACUGGAGCUGAGACACGGUCCAGGCUCCUACGGGAGGCAGCAGUGGUGAAUAUUGCGCAAUGGGGGAAACCCUGACGCAGCAACGCCGCGUGAGUGAGGAAGGACUUCGGUCUGUAAAGCUCUGUUAAUGUGGAAAAAUGGUAGUUGGUCUAAUAGGCCGAUUAUUUGAUGGUACACAUAGAGGAAGCACCGGCUAACUUCGUGCCAGCCGCCGCCGUAA
Molecule: ribosomal RNA, 513 nt
Filed under: uncultured bacterium
Lineage: Bacteria
Description: partial 16S ribosomal RNA
Rfam family: Bacterial small subunit ribosomal RNA
Source: RNAcentral